Molecule: ribosomal RNA, 624 nt
Filed under: Bacillus velezensis
Lineage: Bacteria; Bacillati; Bacillota; Bacilli; Caryophanales; Bacillaceae
Description: bacterial SSU rRNA
Rfam family: Bacterial small subunit ribosomal RNA
Source: RNAcentral
GAGCGGACAGAUGGGGAGCUUGCUCCCUGAUGUUAGCGGCGGACGGGUGAGUAACACGUGGGUAACCUGCCUGUAAGACUGGGAUAACUCCGGGAAACCGGGGCUAAUACCGGAUGGUUGUCUGAACCGCAUGGUUCAGACAUAAAAGGUGGCUUCGGCUACCACUUACAGAUGGACCCGCGGCGCAUUAGCUAGUUGGUGAGGUAACGGCUCACCAAGGCGACGAUGCGUAGCCGACCUGAGAGGGUGAUCGGCCACACUGGGACUGAGACACGGCCCAGACUCCUACGGGAGGCAGCAGUAGGGAAUCUUCCGCAAUGGACGAAAGUCUGACGGAGCAACGCCGCGUGAGUGAUGAAGGUUUUCGGAUCGUAAAGCUCUGUUGUUAGGGAAGAACAAGUGCCGUUCAAAUAGGGCGGCACCUUGACGGUACCUAACCAGAAAGCCACGGCUAACUACGUGCCAGCAGCCGCGGUAAUACGUAGGUGGCAAGCGUUGUCCGGAAUUAUUGGGCGUAAAGGGCUCGCAGGCGGUUUCUUAAGUCUGAUGUGAAAGCCCCCGGCUCAACCGGGGAGGGUCAUUGGAAACUGGGGAACUUGAGUGCAGAAGAGGAGAGUGGAAAAA